Molecule: long non-coding RNA, 2674 nt
Filed under: Malus domestica (apple)
Lineage: Eukaryota; Viridiplantae; Streptophyta; Magnoliopsida; Rosales; Rosaceae
Description: long non-coding RNA (MDOM_LNC017161)
Source: RNAcentral
UAGUUCCUGAAUCUGAUUCUAGGAGCAUUGAUGUAGUUUCGAAAGAUGAGAUUGUUACUAGUCAGACACUCGAUGAAGGGAUAUCACAAGAGCAAGUUGAAAUCCCAUCUUCUACAUUGCUUACUGAGGCAAAGGAGAUCGAAGCUUCUCAACAUGAGCAUGAAACUCCAACCAAAGACAAGAAUAUAGAAGAAGAGCAUGAUAAGGAAAUGCCAGCUGAUGAAAAUGCAAGAGAUUUAUCUGCUGAGAGGUCAGAAGAUGAGACACCCUUGCAAAAGGAAGAGUCCAAAGAGCUCAAAGCUUCUGAGUUGGCUCUGGAAAAGCUGGAUGCCGGUGAUACAGAAGAAGGAAUCAAAGAAACUCUUAAGACAAUCUCUAAAUCCGAUUCUCAAAGCAUUGAUGCAGUUUCAAAAGAUGAAAUUGUUGCUGACCAAACACACCUUGAGGCAUCUUAUGCUUUGCUUCCCAUGGAAGAGGAGCUCAAAACUUAUCAAGAAGAUCGUGAAACUACAACCCAAGACAGAUUUAUAGAGGAAGAGUAUGCCAAGAAAACAGAAGUGCCAGCUGAUGAAAAUGGGAGCGAUUUGGUUGCUGCAACAUUGGCAGAAGAGACACUGCUGAAGGAAGAGCCCGGGGAGCUCAAAGUUUCUGAAUUGGCUCCAGAAAAUCUGGAUGCUGGUGAAACGAAAGAAGAAAUAAAAAAAUCUUUUGAAAAGGUGUCUAAAUCUGAUUCUCAAAGCACUGAAGUUGUUUCGGGAGAUGAGACCACUGCUUACCAGACAGAGCUGGUGGGAGAUAAGGCCGUGGAGGAAAGCUUUCAAGUGCAAAGCCUUGAGGAAGCAGAACCAAAAUUGAGAGUUGAAGAUGAGAGUCGCGAAUCAGAAGACCAUCCUGAAAAUAACAACAUGAUAGUUGAAGAGGUAUGCAAUAUACAAUAUACAAUAUGAUGACCAUAAGCAUGUGACACCAUGCACCGUUAUAUAGAAACUCUAAUUUCGUAUUCUCUAACUCUUCCUUUUCUUUGCGAAGCCUCAACUGCUACAACAGGUCCUGGAUGAGCCAAAGAGCACUGACGGAGAUUCCAGUGAAGGACAAACCACAAAACGCAGUGCUGCAAUUUGUGCACCAGAAAUAAUUGAAGAAGGAACUGCUAAGCACUCUCAAGACUGUGACAAAGAGACAGAAAACUCACAGGAAGAGGUCAGCUUAUAAAGCCUACUUUGUCUCUAGGGGAAUUAUUGUUUGCCUGUUUCGAUUAUAAACUUAUUUUUUGUACAGAUACUUAAAGAGCCAGAGAUCGCUGGAGUAGGUGAGAGCACCACAUAUGAAACGAAUCAGAUCGCUGAAACACCUGAAGAAUUUUUUGAUGCUUCACCAGUGAAGUAUGAAGAAGGACAGCCGGGAGAAGGUAGCAGUCAAGAUUCAGCAAAAGCUUCAAAGGAGGAGGAUGUUACUGAAGACGAUGACAAUAAUGAUGCAGUCACAGUUACUGAAUCAAAUGCAGAGGUAACAUCAAAAGGGGAAGAAGAUUCAGCACAGCCUUCGGAGAAAUAUGAACCUGAAGAAGAGAAGGUACCUGUCAAAAUUAGUGACGUAGCAGAUGCAAAAGAGGUUUGCGACGUGGAGGAUAAAUCUUCUUUUCCCGAAAAGACAACAGAAGAGACAAGCUUGCAAACAGAAGGGCAUGCGGAGGUUUCUGAAUUGGCUCCGGAAAAGCUAGAUGUUGAAGCUACUGAAGAAGAAUUCAAAGAAGGUUCUGAAAUAGUUCGUGAAUCUGAUUCUAGGAGCAUUGAUGUAGUUUUGAAAGAUAAGAUCGCUACUAGACAGACACUCGACGAAGGGAUAUCACAAGAGCAAGUUGAAAUCCCAUCUUCUACAUUGCUUACUGAGGCAAAGGAGAUUGAACCUUCUCAACAUGAGCAUGAAACUCCAACCAAUGACAAGAAUAUAGAAGAAGAGCAUGAACAGGAAAUGCCAGCUGAUGAAAACGCAGGAGAUUUAUCUGCUGUGAGGUCAGAAGACGAGACACCCUUGCCAAAGGAAGAGUCCGAAGAGCUCAAACCUUCUGCGUUGGCUCUGGAAAAGCUGGAUGCAGGUGAUACAGAAGAAGAAAUCGAAGAAACUUUUAAGACAAUCUCUAAAUCCGAUUCUCAAAGCACUGAUGCAGUUCCAAAAGAUGAAAUUGUUGCUGAUCAAACACACCUUGAGGCAUCUUAUGCUUUGCUUCCCAAGGAAGAGGAGCUCAAAACUUAUCAAGACGAUCAUGAAACUACAACCCAAGACAAAGGUGUAGAGGAAGAGUAUGCCAAGGAAACAGAAGUGCCAGCUGAUGAAAGUGGGAGAGAUUUGGUUGCACCAACGUUGGCAGAAGAGACACUGCUUCAAAAGGAAGAGCCCGAGGAGCUCAAAGUUUCUGAUUUGGCUCCAGAAAAUCUGGAUGCUGGUGAAACGGAAGAAGAAAUUAAAGAAUCUUUUGAAAAGGUGUCUAAAUCUGAUUCUCAAAGCUCUGAAGUUGUUUCGGGAGAUGAGACGACUGCUAAUCAGACACUCCAUGAAGGUAUAUCAAAUGAGCAACUUCAAUUACCAUCUUCUACGUUGGUGCCCAAGGAAAAAGAGAUAAAAAUUUCUCAACGUGAGCAUGAAACUACAACCCAAGACAAGAAUAAAGAAGAUG